Molecule: ribosomal RNA, 109 nt
Filed under: Anolis carolinensis (green anole)
Lineage: Eukaryota; Metazoa; Chordata; Lepidosauria; Squamata; Anolidae
Source: RNAcentral
AUGUAUGGCCAUACCACCCUGAACAUGCCUGAUUUUAUCUGAUCUUGGAAGCUAAGCAGGAUUGGGCCUGAUUAGUACAUGGAUGUGUAUGCCCCAGGUUUUAUCUGUG